RNAcentral lists this ribosomal RNA (475 nucleotides) under uncultured bacterium. Its description in RNAcentral is "bacterial SSU rRNA". It matches the Rfam family "Bacterial small subunit ribosomal RNA", at positions 15 to 518 of the family's 1533-position model. The record is from RNAcentral.
GAUUAUGGCUCAGGAUGAACGCUGGCGGCGUGCCUAACACAUGCAAGUCGAGCGAUCUCUCGGAAGAGAGCGGCGGACGGGUGAGUAACGCGUGGGUAACCUGCCCUGUACACACGGAUAACAUACCGAAAGGUAUGCUAAUACGGGAUAACAUAUUUUUAUCGCAUGGUAAAAAUAUCAAAGCUCCGGCGGUACAGGAUGGACCCGCGUCUGAUUAGCUAGUUGGUAAGGUAACGGCUUACCAAGGCGACGAUCAGUAGCCGACCUGAGAGGGUGAUCGGCCACAUUGGAACUGAGACGCGGUCCAAACUCCUACGGGAGGCAGCAGUGGGGAAUAUUGCACAAUGGGCGAAAGCCUGAUGCAAGCAACGCCGCGUGAGCGAUGAAGGCCUUCGGGUCGUAAAGCUCUGUCCUCAAGGAAGAUAAUGACGGUACUUGAGGAGGAAGCCCCGGCUAACUACGUGCCAGCCGCAGC